AGAGUUUGAUCAUGGCUCAGAAUCAACGCUGGCGGCGCGCUUAACACAUGCAAGUCGCACGAGAAAGUGGAGCAAUCCAUGAGUAAAGUGGCGUACGGGUGAGUAACACGUGGAUCAUCUACCUCUUGGUGGGGAAUAACCCUGGGAAACCGGGGCUAAUACCGCAUAAGCCUGCAAAGGGAAAGCAGCAAUGCGCCGAGAGAGGAGUCCGCGGCCGAUUAGCUUGUUGGUAGGGUAAUGGCCUACCAAGGCAAUGAUCGGUAGCCGGCCUGAGAGGGCACACGGCCACACUGGCACUGAAACACGGGCCAGACUCCUACGGGAGGCAGCAGUGGGGAAUCUUGCACAAUGGGGGCAACCCUGAUGCAGCGACGCCGCGUGAGCGAUGAAGCCCUUCGGGGUGUAAAGCUCUUUCGGCAGGAACGAUAAUGACGGUACCUGCAGAAGAAGCUGCGGCUAACUACGUGCCAGCAGCCGCGGUAAUACGUAGGCAGCAAGCGUUGUUCGGAGUUACUGGGCGUAAAGAGUGUGUAGGCGGUUCUCUAAGUUCCGUGUGAAAUCUCCCGGCUCAACUGGGAGGGUGCGCGGAAAACUGGAGGGCUUGAGUAUGGGAGAGGAAAGCGGAAUUCCUGGUGUAGCGGUGAAAUGCGUAGAUAUCAGGAGGAACACCUGCGGUGUAGACAGCUUUCUGGACCAUCACUGACGCUGAGACACGAAAGCGUGGGUAGCAAACAGGAUUAGAUACCCUAGUAGUCC
Molecule: ribosomal RNA, 756 nt
Filed under: uncultured bacterium
Lineage: Bacteria
Description: bacterial SSU rRNA
Rfam family: Bacterial small subunit ribosomal RNA
Source: RNAcentral